This 125-nucleotide ribosomal RNA is filed under the name Agaricales sp. RNAcentral's name for it is "partial small subunit ribosomal RNA". It matches the Rfam family "Eukaryotic small subunit ribosomal RNA", at positions 1657 to 1779 of the family's 1831-position model. Lineage: Eukaryota; Fungi; Basidiomycota; Agaricomycetes; Agaricales. The record is from RNAcentral.
CCUUUGUACACACCGCCCGUCGCUACUACCGAUUGAAUGGCUUAGUGAGGUCUCCGGAUUGGCUUUGGCAUACCGGCAACGGUAAGCUAUCGCUGAGAAGCUGAUCAAACUUGGUCAUUUAGAGG